This 501-nucleotide ribosomal RNA is filed under the name Penicillium sp. HGUP2012. RNAcentral's name for it is "eukaryotic LSU rRNA". The stretch from base 137 to 290 matches the Rfam family "5.8S ribosomal RNA". Lineage: Eukaryota; Fungi; Ascomycota; Eurotiomycetes; Eurotiales; Aspergillaceae. The record is from RNAcentral.
GUUUAUUUACCUUGUUGCUUCGGCGGGCCCGCCUCACGGCCGCCGGGGGGCACCUGCCCCCGGGCCCGCGCCCGCCGAAGACACCAUUGAACUCUGUCUGAAGUUUGCAGUCUGAGCGAUUAGCUAAAUCAGUUAAAACUUUCAACAACGGAUCUCUUGGUUCCGGCAUCGAUGAAGAACGCAGCGAAAUGCGAUACGUAAUGUGAAUUGCAGAAUUCAGUGAAUCAUCGAGUCUUUGAACGCACAUUGCGCCCCCUGGUAUUCCGGGGGGCAUGCCUGUCCGAGCGUCAUUGCUGCCCUCAAGCACGGCUUGUGUGUUGGGCCCCGCCCCCCGGUCUCGGGGGGCGGACCCGAAAGGCAGCGGCGGCACCGCGUCCGGUCCUCGAGCGUAUGGGGCUUCGUCACCCGCUCUGUAGGCCCGGCCGGCGCCCGCCGGCGACCCCAAUCAAUCUAUCCAGGUUGACCUCGGAUCAGGUAGGGAUACCCGCUGAACUUAAGCAU